Molecule: long non-coding RNA, 481 nt
Organism: Pimephales promelas (fathead minnow)
Lineage: Eukaryota; Metazoa; Chordata; Actinopteri; Cypriniformes; Leuciscidae
Source: RefSeq, a predicted model, not a curated record
CAAACGUAUAAGAAGUUCUGACUUGCCGACUGGCGUGACCAGUGACCAACACCAUGGAUUCGGCUGGGACAAAUACGCUGACAGGGAAGGAGUCAGGAAAGAGGGAGAGAUGGCCGACCCAGUGUCCACACAGAAAUGACUAGGUUCUUCAAGCCAGGGGAAAGCGCCGGCGCGUUCAAGGGCCUUCCAACCACUCCACACCAGUCAAAGAGAUAGCCCACCCGCCCAUUAAGUUUCAUUUCAGCUAAACAUUUACUCAAAAACUCCAAACAGGUACAAGGAAAACUGGCAGAAGAUUACACACACUAGCACAGACUGAAACAGAGAGAACUAAAUACAGAUACAAAGUGAACACUAACAAGGUGACGACAGGUAACACAGAUGAUCAGGAUGAUGAACAGGUGGAUGAUUGAGGGAGUGAAUUCAGGUGUGGAGACAAGAGGAUGCUGGGAAGUGUAGUGAAGAUGACGAAGACAGAAUU